This 73-nucleotide transfer RNA is filed under the name Sminthurides aquaticus. Its description in RNAcentral is "tRNA-Ser". It matches the Rfam family "tRNA". Rfam says of the family: Transfer RNA (tRNA) molecules are approximately 80 nucleotides in length. Their secondary structure includes four short double-helical elements and three loops (D, anti-codon, and T loops). Further hydrogen bonds mediate the characteristic L-shaped molecular structure. tRNAs have two regions of fundamental functional importance: the anti-codon, which is responsible for specific mRNA codon recognition, and the 3' end, to which the tRNAs corresponding amino acid is attached (by aminoacyl-tRNA synthetases). tRNAs cope with the degeneracy of the genetic code in two manners: having more than one tRNA (with a specific anti-codon) for a particular amino acid; and 'wobble' base-pairing, i.e. permitting non-standard base-pairing at the 3rd anti-codon position. The record is from RNAcentral. Lineage: Eukaryota; Metazoa; Arthropoda; Collembola; Symphypleona; Sminthurididae.
AACUAAUUGUCUGAGUGAUUUUAAGUGUUUAUCUUGAAAAUAAAUUAUAUAGGUUUAAGUCCUAUAUUAGUUA